RNA transcript from Nomia melanderi (Alkali bee), 1982 nucleotides. It is a transcript of the gene named WD repeat domain phosphoinositide-interacting protein 3, with no coding region annotated. The record is from RefSeq and is a predicted model, not a curated record. Lineage: Eukaryota; Metazoa; Arthropoda; Insecta; Hymenoptera; Halictidae.
AUGCGUGGAGACACUAUGAUGGUAACGGAAGUUCGUAGUUACGAAAAGUGUCUCGUACUGCUUGCCGGCGAAAAUGUGAUAGAAUUCCAUAAGUAAACGAUCGUUCGAGCGAAUGUUGCGGUUAAAAAAAUAAUUUACAAUGAACCUCACCACAGGGAACCCUCACGGAAAUGAUUUGCUCUUUGCUGGUUUCAAUCAGGACCAAGGAUGUUUUGCUUGUGGUAUGGAAAAUGGCUUCAGAGUAUAUGGUUGUGACCCUUUAAAAGAGAAGGCACGUCAUUUCAGUGAUGGAGGCUUUGGUUAUGUAGAAAUGCUAUUUAGGUGUAAUUAUUUAGCAUUAGUUGGCAGUGGAGCAAAGCCAAUGUAUCCAACCAAUAAAGUUAUAAUAUGGGACGAUUUAAAGAAGUCUCCAGCGAUCACUUUAGAAUUUAAUGCUCCCGUGAAAGGUGUUAAACUGAGAAGAGAUAGAAUAGUAGUAAUUUUAGAAGGUGUUAUAAAAGUUUAUACAUUCACGCCAAAUCCUCAGCAACUUCAUGUUUUUGAGACUAAUCCAAAUCCCAGAGGAUUAUGCGUAUUAUGCCCAAAUAGUAGUAAUUCCUUACUUGCUUUCCCUGGUAGGAAAAAUGGGCACGUACAAGUAAUAGAUUUGGCUAAUACAGAAAAACAGCCUUUAAAUAUAGAUGCACACGAAACACCUUUAUCUUGUAUAGCUUUAAACUUACAAGGUACCAGAUUGGCUACUGCAUCAGAGAAGGGUACUUUGAUAAGAGUUUUUGAAACGCAAAGUGGAAAUAUGAUUAAUGAAUUGAGAAGAGGGGCUAAUCAUGCAAACAUUUAUUGCAUUAAUUUUAAUCAUGAUUCUACCUGGCUGUGUGUAGCAAGUGAUCACGGAACUGUACAUGUUUUCGCUGUAGAAGAUCAAAAAUUAAAUCGUCAAUCUAGUUUAGCAUCUGCCACUUUCCUGCCAAAAUAUUUUAGUUCAAGUUGGAGCUUCUGCAAAUUUCAAGUUCCAGGUGGUCCACAAUGUAUGUGUGCAUUUGGUACUGAUAACAAUAGUAUUAUAGUAAUAUGUGCAGAUGGUAGUUAUUACAAGUUUGUGUUCAAUAAUAAAGGUGAAUGCACGAGAGAUUUUUAUGCACAGUUCCUCGAAUUAACCGAUGAUAAGAUGUGAUUGGAGAAUGUAGAGGAGGUAAACUCCUAAAUGAAACAAAUUUUACACACUUUGCUCAUUGGAUAUGAAUAAGAGUAGCUCUUAUGGAAAGUGAGAACUGUGUUUGUUAUUUAAAAUUGUACUCUAUAUGAUAGAAGACCAAAUGAAAAGUACUACUAUUUAUUGAUGACAUGUGCAAUGUGUGUGAAUUACAAAUGGAAAAUAUAAAAAAAAGAGGAACAUUAUCAAACACAACAGAAUAUGUUAUUGACUUGUUAUAUGGGCCUAUUGCUACAAUGCCUAUUUAUAAAUCUACAUGUUCUUGAAUGUUACAGUUGAGGAGGGUGUCCAAUACUUAACGCUCCGUUCAACGUGUCUAUGUAACGAAUGCCAUUGUUACAUUUAAAUUACUAAGUUUAUAAUUAAAAUUGAUUCACGUCACAAAAGAGAUAUCAUACGCAAAUGCAGACAUUCUAGUUAUAGUACAUUAUAGUAUUUACUAAACUAUAUUAUACUUUGACACAUUUCACAUUCUUUAUUGUAAAUAAGUUUCAAAGUAAAACAUACAAAUAUAAAAUCUAUUUAAUUGCUGCCAGUGGUAGUGAUUAAUCAAUUGAUCUGUAAGACGUACAUAACAUAAUAAUUUUGUAAUCUUUAUUUUUAUGAUUUUCAUACAUUUAACAUACAGAUACACGAAACAGAACUACAUUGAGUUGUCAAUAUUGAAACAUUACCACAAAAUAUCGUCAAAAGUGUCACAAAGAAGAUGGGAUUAAAUAUAAUGUAAAAAUUAAUAUGAGACGAGACUCUGUAUCUAUUUAUAAUAAAAUAU